GGAAGAUUGUUUUGGCCGUUACGUGAGUUGUGCUUCGGCUUCGUGCGCGGAUUAAUCUGAUUUUUUGAAUCGCGCGUGCGGUGCCGCUGUCAUUACAGUGACGGUAUCGCUUUUUUCAGCGCGAAUUUCAAUAACGACAUAUAUUGAAGAAAUAUGUCUGAUGAGAAGCGAGAUGAUUUCGAGGAGAAGAACUCAAGCCACACAGGGAGAGUUCUUCCAUAUCUUGUCCAAGCAUCUGAGCAAACAAACAUCUCUGACCAGACGCUGUGGUCUUUUACUCAUAAUUACCAGGGUUUGAAAAUGGCACGAAACUUAAGUUCUAAGACUUGGUGCUUUACUAAGAAUCAUCACCUGUUUUUUGCCAGUAAACAUGGAAUAUAAUAUAGGCCGAUUGAGGAUGAAAUGCAUUGUCACAUUAUUAAAAUAGUCCUGCAUCCUCUAGUCUUGAGGUCUCUGGAUAUGGCUUUGGCUCGGUUUGUGUUUUUGAAAGAAGCCUCCCCUGCUCACUAAGGCUACAUUUAUUAGACCAAAAAUAUAUAAAAAAUAGUGAAAUAUUAUUACAAUUUCAGAUAACUGAUUUCUACUUGAAUAUAUUUAAAACUGUAAUUUAUUCCUGUGAUGGAAAACUGAAUUUUCAAAAAAACUAAAGGAGGAGUUAAGAAAGAAUGCAGUUUCCCGCCAAAUCCGUCCCGACAGCUCUAAACGAUAAAUAAUCAUUAUAGGCAAAAACACAGUUUGAAUAUGGUUUUAUAAUGCAUUUGCUCAUUAGUUAAAUUUUGAACAGCAUUUAUUUGAAAUAUAAAUAAUUUGCAACAUUAUAAAUGUCUGCAAUGUCACUUUUGACCAAAUUAAUGCGUCUUCGCUCAAUGCCGUCUUUAUCAGCAGCGCAAGUUUGACUGGAAGCAUUAUUAUUCACAUUCCUCAGUGACCAUUAAAACACAUCCACAACAUUAAAGCCAGUCAAUCUGAAGUCAGCUCAUUCAGCUGGAUUGGGGAGGUUUAUUAGUCACUGUGAACCAGAACUAAGUAUUGAGUCAUUAGCUGGGUGUAAUAGCAACUACAUGCGUCACGCUGAUCUCAUCCUCUUCUCGAGCUCAUUCAUGAGUUACACACUGCAAUCUGAGACCUCACAGCGCCCUCUGCUGGUGCACAAACAUGUCACGCUACAAUAAAUGCAUAUUUCAAAUAAAUACA
This is a long non-coding RNA of Cyprinus carpio (common carp), 1194 nucleotides long. NCBI's taxonomy places the organism in Eukaryota, Metazoa, Chordata, Actinopteri, Cypriniformes, Cyprinidae. The record is from Ensembl.